GGAAGUAAAAGUCGUAACAAGGUUUCCGUAGGUGAACCUGCGGAAGGAUCAUUAGUGAUUUUGAAAGGUUGUCUUCUGUGCUGGCUGCAGCAAGUGCACGUUGGUGACUUUCAUCCAACACCCUGUGAACCUUUGGCCUCUUGCUCGCUUCGGCUGGCAGAGGAUUUACACAAACUCGCAUGUAUUGAGGACCCUUCAUGUGCGCAAGCACUAAUAUACAACUUUCAACAACGGAUCUCUUGGCUCUCGCAUCGAUGAAGAACGCAGCGAAAUGCGAUAAGUAAUGUGAAUUGCAGAAUUCAGUGAAUCAUCGAAUCUUUGAACGCACCUUGCACCCUUUGGCAUUCCGAAGGGUAUGCUCGUUUGAGUGUCAUUGUACUCUCACACUCCCAAUUACUUUGGAUUGGGAGCGGUGGACUUGGGUGUUGCUGCUUGACUGCGGCUCACCUGAAAUAUGUUAGUUGCACCUCUUGAUUGGACAUAGUACGGCGUGAUAAGUGUCUUCGCUGGCUCCUCGCAAGAGGGUGGCCGAUCGGGAGCUCUGUUGCUUCAAACUGUCUUCGGACAAUCUUCUGGCGACUUGACCUCAAAUCGAGUAGGACUACCCGCUGAACUUAAGCAUAUCAAUAAGCGGAGGAAG
This 640-nucleotide ribosomal RNA is filed under the name uncultured Sebacina. RNAcentral describes it as "eukaryotic LSU rRNA". The stretch from base 220 to 373 matches the Rfam family "5.8S ribosomal RNA". The record is from RNAcentral. Lineage: Eukaryota; Fungi; Basidiomycota; Agaricomycetes; Sebacinales; Sebacinaceae.